This is a long non-coding RNA of Saccostrea cuccullata (small rock oyster), 858 nucleotides long. RefSeq lists it as uncharacterized. Lineage: Eukaryota; Metazoa; Mollusca; Bivalvia; Ostreida; Ostreidae. The record is from RefSeq and is a predicted model, not a curated record. The transcript has 4 exons.
GACAAAUAGAUAAAGAAUAAAUUAAUUUGCUUUUCAUUUUAAAUCUUUUGGGUUUGGCUAAGUAAAAUUAAAAUAAUUCCGUAUUUUUCUCCGGGCCGGUUUUGUCUUUUAUUGGAUGAAAAUAUACGUCAAUUUUGACGUCACUGCUGCAGCAGACGUGUUGGGUGUUUAGAAAAGGCAAGUGAUCUCCUAACAAUAAUAUUUUAAAGACUUUUGAUUGUUUAAAUAUAAUUUCAUUAUUGUUACAGUCCAAAGAGCCCGAAGCUGAUAAGACUGGCGAUUGAUCCUGAAGCUGAUUUGACAGACGAUUGCAUCAUCACAAUAUUGAAGGUUCAAUAUACAGUCAGCCUCUCAUAAGAUAAAGAACAAAUCCCAAGAUCCAAGGCUUGCUUCAAAGUUAAGAGACCAUUCUGUGCCACAAAGAAAUUGUUCAGGAAAAGGAGAAGUGGUGGAUAUUCAUUUUUGGUACGGUACAGUUCAAAGAGAUUUUCAAAAUGGUCAUGGAAGAUCAAAGGGAGGACAACUGAAAAAACUGAAAGAUACAGAAGGAAAAAGAGCAAGGAAAUAUAUGGAAUAAUUAUGAAAUGGGGAGGAUGUACACAAUCUUGUCUGAAUUUGACCUGUGAAGAUUUCCCAUAUUGUAUGCUGGAAUAAUCAAUAACUUGAUUUUUCAUAAAUUUACAAUAGAGAAUACAUGACAAAUGUUAUUGCUGAUAUUUCAAUGUUGCUUUGGACACUUUCAUGUAAUAUGGUAUUUUUAUACAUUACCUAAUUAUGUUAUUCAUUUGUACAUGUACAGUGUACAUGUUUAACUACUAAAUCAUUUUGCUGAAAUCUUAUAAUUUGUACUCAUGUUAG